CUAAAGCCUCUCGCUUACACCGAGGAUAUAUCUGUUAGACCAGAUUAUUUUGA
This 53-nucleotide transfer RNA is filed under the name Pyxicephalus adspersus. RNAcentral describes it as "tRNA-Val". The record is from RNAcentral. Lineage: Eukaryota; Metazoa; Chordata; Amphibia; Anura; Pyxicephalidae.